RNAcentral lists this ribosomal RNA (253 nucleotides) under uncultured bacterium. RNAcentral describes it as "partial 16S ribosomal RNA". It matches the Rfam family "Bacterial small subunit ribosomal RNA", at positions 524 to 776 of the family's 1533-position model. The record is from RNAcentral.
UACGUAGGGGGCAAGCGUUGUCCGGAAUCAUUGGGCGUAAAGAGCGUGUAGGCGGCCCGGUAAGUCCGCUGUGAAAGUCCAGGGCUCAACCCUGGGAUGCCGGUGGAUACUGUCGGGCUCGAGUCCGGAAGAGGAGUGUGGAAUUCCUGGUGUAGCGGUGAAAUGCGCAGAUAUCAGGAGGAACACCAAUGGCGAAGGCGGCUCUCUGGAACGCAACUGACGCUGAGACGCGAAAGCGUGGGGAGCAAACAGG